Molecule: ribosomal RNA, 440 nt
Filed under: uncultured bacterium
Lineage: Bacteria
Description: partial 16S ribosomal RNA
Rfam family: Bacterial small subunit ribosomal RNA
Source: RNAcentral
CCUACGGGUGGCAGCAGUGGGGAAUAUUGCACAAUGGGCGAAACCCUGAUGCAGCAACGCCGCGUGAGUGAAGAAGUAUUUCGGUAUGUAAAGCUCUAUCAGCAGGGAAGAAGAUGACGGUACCUGAGUAAGAAGCCCCGGCUAACUACGUGCCAGCAGCCGCGGUAAUACGGAGGGGGCAAGCGUUAUCCGGAUUUACUGGGUGUAAAGGGAGCGUAGACGGUGAGACAAGUCUGAAGUGAAAGCCCGGGGCUCAACCCGGGGACUGCAGUUGAAACUGGCUGACUGGAGUGCUGGCGAGGAAGGGGGAAUGCGUGGUGGAGCGGUGAAAGGUGGAGAUAUGAGGAAGAACACCGAGGGGGAAGGCAGCUUGCUAGACGGAAAGUGACGUUGAGGCUCGAAAGGGUGGGGAUAAAACAGGAUGAGAUACCCGGGUAGUC